UACAGAGGGUGCGAGCGUUAAUCGGAAUUACUGGGCGUAAAGCGCGCGUAGGCGGCUUUGCAAGUCGGGUGUGAAAUCCCCAAGCUUAACUUGGGAACUGCAUUCGAGACUGCAUUGCUAGAGUAUGGGAGAGGGAAGUGGAAUUUCCGGUGUAGCGGUGAAAUGCGUAGAUAUCGGAAGGAACAUCAGUGGCGAAAGCGACUUCCUGGACCAAGACUGACGCUCAUGUGCGAAAGCGUGGGGAGCAAACAGG
Molecule: ribosomal RNA, 253 nt
Filed under: uncultured bacterium
Lineage: Bacteria
Description: partial 16S ribosomal RNA
Rfam family: Bacterial small subunit ribosomal RNA
Source: RNAcentral